AUUUAUUUUAGAAUUGUGAUAUAUUUUUUUUUAUAGUUGAGAUUUAAUUGAAAUUUACAGAUUAGAAAUCUAAUUGUUAUUAAAAAAAUGUUGGAGGCUAAAAUAAAAAAAAGAUAAAAAAAAAAGGUUGCGGAAAAUAUUGAUGGAUGGGAUGGGAUUGAAUGAAGGAUUAAUUAUAGAUGAGAGCUAAGUUUCUGCCGGGUUGGAUUUGGAUCAAGCUAUCUAGCUUGUUUUAACUUAAGUCCAAUUAUAAUUAUUUUUAGAAAGUUUUAGUUUUAGAAAAUUUUAAUUUU
Molecule: long non-coding RNA, 293 nt
Filed under: Ananas comosus (pineapple)
Lineage: Eukaryota; Viridiplantae; Streptophyta; Magnoliopsida; Poales; Bromeliaceae
Description: long non-coding RNA (ACOM_LNC004374)
Source: RNAcentral